GGCUCAGAUUGAACGCUGGCGGCAGGCCUAACACAUGCAAGUCGAGCGGAAACGAGUUAACUGAACCUUCGGGGGACGUUAACGGCGUCGAGCGGCGGACGGGUGAGUAAUGCCUAGGAAAUUGCCCUGAUGUGGGGGAUAACCAUUGGAAACGAUGGCUAAUACCGCAUGAUGCCUACGGGCCAAAGAGGGGGACCUUCGGGCCUCUCGCGUCAGGAUAUGCCUAGGUGGGAUUAGCUAGUUGGUGAGGUAAGGGCUCACCAAGGCGACGAUCCCUAGCUGGUCUGAGAGGAUGAUCAGCCACACUGGAACUGAGACACGGUCCAGACUCCUACGGGAGGCAGCAGUGGGGAAUAUUGCACAAUGGGCGCAAGCCUGAUGCAGCCAUGCCGCGUGUGUGAAGAAGGCCUUCGGGUUGUAAAGCACUUUCAGUCGUGAGGAAGGUAGUGUGUUUAAUAGAUGCAUUAUUUGACGUUAGCGACAGAAGAAGCACCGGCUAACUCCGUGCCAGCAGCCGCGGUAAUACGGAGGGUGCGAGCGUUAAUCGGAAUUACUGGGCGUAAAGCGCAUGCAGGUGGUUUGUUAAGUCAGAUGUGAAAGCCCGGGGCUCAACCUCGGAAUAGCAUUUGAAACUGGCAGACUAGAGUACUGUAGAGGGGGGUAGAAUUUCAGGUGUAGCGGUGAAAUGCGUAGAGAUCUGAAGGAAUACCGGUGGCGAAGGCGGCCCCCUGGACAGAUACUGACACUCAGAUGCGAAAGCGUGGGGAGCAAACAGGAUUAGAUACCCUGGUAGUCCACGCCGUAAACGAUGUCUACUUGGAGGUUGUGGCCUUGAGCCGUGGCUUUCGGAGCUAACGCGUUAAGUAGACCGCCUGGGGAGUACGGUCGCAAGAUUAAAACUCAAAUGAAUUGACGGGGGNCCGCACAAGCGGUGGAGCAUGUGGUUUAAUUCGAUGCAACGCGAAGAACCUUACCUACUCUUGACAUCCAGAGAACUUUCCAGAGAUGGAUUGGUGCCUUCGGGAACUCUGAGACAGGUGCUGCAUGGCUGUCGUCAGCUCGUGUUGUGAAAUGUUGGGUUAAGUCCCGCAACGAGCGCAACCCUUAUCCUUGUUUGCCAGCGAGUAAUGUCGGGAACUCCAGGGAGACUGCCGGUGAUAAACCGGAGGAAGGUGGGGACGACGUCAAGUCAUCAUGGCCCUUACGAGUAGGGCUACACACGUGCUACAAUGGCGCAUACAGAGGGCG
RNAcentral lists this ribosomal RNA (1248 nucleotides) under Vibrio sp. Its description in RNAcentral is "bacterial SSU rRNA". It matches the Rfam family "Bacterial small subunit ribosomal RNA", at positions 21 to 1248 of the family's 1533-position model. Lineage: Bacteria; Pseudomonadati; Pseudomonadota; Gammaproteobacteria; Vibrionales; Vibrionaceae. The record is from RNAcentral.